Molecule: long non-coding RNA, 420 nt
Organism: Dendronephthya gigantea
Lineage: Eukaryota; Metazoa; Cnidaria; Anthozoa; Malacalcyonacea; Nephtheidae
Exons: 3
Source: RefSeq, a predicted model, not a curated record
GUAGGACCACAUGCUAUGAUAUCCAUAGGAUCCCCAAGAACAUCAGAUAAGAUUAAAGUGAUAACCUGUCAUGAAUAUCAAAUAAAGUCUACAUUUAAGAUUUUUUGGAAUCUCCUUCGACAAGUAUAUGAAGACUCAGUUGUUUGUCUGAAUGGCUGAUAGUUGGUCGAACUGAUCGUCUAAAACAAAAGAAUGUCUCAUUUUGAAAGGGCCAUUGAAAUUCCGUUGUUGCGUGGAUAAAGUGCUGUCUAAACAGGUAUCACGAAAAAAAUUCAAUCCUAAAACUGACGCAUGUUGAUUGUCAGUCUUAAUGAAGGAAGGUAUCUUUACUCUUACCUCACUUACAUUCUGCGUGCCAAUUGGCACACUUGCGACACCUUGGACAAUGUGGGAACCAAGAACCUUCUCAACGGCCUGAAC